GAUAUGCACCAACAAUCCAACGGGGCUCAAGCACAUGACCGAAGCUGCGAAAUGAACAUUUCUUUGAAAUGUUUUUUGGUAGGGGAGCAUUGCGUGGAGUCUGAAGGUAGACCGAGAGGACUACUGAACACUACACAAGAGACCCUGCCGGCAUAAGUAGCGAUAAACACGAUGAGAACUCGUGUCGCCGAAAGUCUAAGGUUUCCUGAGGAAGGUUAAUCCGCUCAGGGUUAGGCGGGUCCUAAGGUGAGGCCGAAAGGCGUAACUGAUGGACAGCCGGUUAAUAUUCCGGCCCCGCCUGGUGACGUUUGACGAUGGGGUGACACAGAAGGAUAGGAGAUCCACCCGAUGGACGUGGUGGUUUACCAGUGUAAGCCGGUUCCCAUAGGCAAAUCCGUGGGGGCAUUAACGGUGAGACUGGCGACGUGGCCGUAUGGCCGACAAGUCUCUGAUUUCACGCUGUCAGGAAAAACCUCUAAGGAGUCAACCAGGUGCCCGUACCCCAAACCGACACAGGUAGACAAGGUGAAUAUCCACAGGCGCUCGAGAGAACGCUCGCUCAGGAACUAGGCACAUUAGCCCCGUAACUUCGGGAGAAGGGGUGCCGCGCUAGGGUUUAUAGCCCGAGGCGGCCGCAGUGAAAUGCGUUCGGCGACUGUUUAACAAAAACACAGCUCUCUGCUAAGUCGAAUACGACGUAUAGGGGGUGACACCUGCCCGGUGCCGGAAGGUUAAAGCAAGGGCUCAGCGCCGCAAGGUGCGAAGGCUUGAACUGAAGCCCCGGUGAACGGCGGCCGUAACUAUAACGGUCCUAAGGUAGCGAAAUUCCUUGUCGGGUAAGUUCCGACCUGCACGAAUGGUGGAAUGAUAGAUCGACUGUCUUGGCGAACGGCUCGGCGAAUUUGUGGUUCCGGUGAAGACGCCGGAUGCCCGCAUCUAGACGGAAAGACCCCGUGCACCUUAACUGCACUCUGGCCAUGAAUAACGGAUUGAUCUGCGUAGAAUAGGUAGGAGCCUAUGAACUCUUGGUUUCGGCUGAGAGGGAGGCAACAGUGAAAUACUACCCUGACCAAUCUGUCGUUCUAACCUACCACCCGAGACGGGUGGGGAGACACGGCCAGACGGGUAGUUUGACUGGGGCGGUCGCCUCCUAAAUUGUAACGGAGGCGCUCAAAGAUCGGCUCAAGCGGAUUGGAAACCCGCUGUGGAGUGCAAGAGCAUAAGCCGGUUUGACUGUGAGACUUACAAGUCGAGCAGGAACGAAAGUUGGAUCUAGUGAUCCGGUGGUCCCGCGUGGAAGGGCCAUCGCUCAACGGAUAAAAGGUACGCCGGGGAUAACAGGCUGAUCUAAGCCAAGAGUUCACAUCGACGCUUAGGUUUGGCACCUCGAUGUCGGCUCAUCGCAUCCUGGGGCUGUAGAAGGUCCCAAGGGUUAGGCUGUUCGCCUAUUAAAGCGGUACGUGAGCUGGGUUCAGAACGUCGCGAGACAGUUCGGUCCCUAUCUGGUGUGGGCGCAGGAGAAUUGAAGGGAGUUGUCCCUAGUACGAGAGGACCGGGAUGAACAGACCUCUUGUGUACGAGUUGUCGCGCCAGCGGCAUAGCUCGGUAGCGAAGUCUGGAAGAGAUAAUUGCUGAAUGCAUCUAAGCAAGAAGCUCGCCCUAAGAUAAGUUCUCCCAAGGUUUAAGACCUAAGAAGGGCAGUCGAAGACUACGACUUUGAUAGGCUGGAGGUAGAAGCGCAGUAAUGCGUGCAGCUGACCAGUACUAAUCGCCCGUUCGGCUUAAUC
Molecule: ribosomal RNA, 1787 nt
Filed under: metagenome
Description: bacterial LSU rRNA
Rfam family: Bacterial large subunit ribosomal RNA
Source: RNAcentral